Molecule: ribosomal RNA, 253 nt
Filed under: uncultured bacterium
Lineage: Bacteria
Description: partial 16S ribosomal RNA
Rfam family: Bacterial small subunit ribosomal RNA
Source: RNAcentral
UACGGAGGGGGCUAGCGUUGUCCGGAAUUACUGGGCGUAAAGCGCACGUAGGCGGUUUUGCAAGUUAGAGGUGAAAGCCCGGGGCUCAACUCCGGAAUUGCCUUUAAAACUGCAUCGCUAGAGUUGUGGAGAGGUAAGUGGAAUUCCGGGUGUAGAGGUGAAAUUCGUAGAUAUUCGGAAGAACACCAGUGGCGAAGGCGACUUACUGGACACAUAUUGACGCUGAGGUGCGAAAGCGUGGGGAGCGAACAGG